RNAcentral lists this transfer RNA (64 nucleotides) under Sphaerodactylus townsendi. Its description in RNAcentral is "tRNA-Thr". It matches the Rfam family "tRNA". From Rfam's summary of the family: Transfer RNA (tRNA) molecules are approximately 80 nucleotides in length. The record is from RNAcentral. Lineage: Eukaryota; Metazoa; Chordata; Lepidosauria; Squamata; Sphaerodactylidae.
GGGCUCAGUGGUCGAGCAUCUGUUUUGUAAGCAGAAGGCCCUGGAUAAAUCCCCAGCAUCUCCA